CCAAAAUGACAUCAUUUUAAUUAGUUAUGGUGUCACUUGAGAAAAGGAAUGUGGAUAAUGGUUGCUAGGGUGUCGUAUCUAGGUUUUAUUUUUAUUAAUGGCACUCUGAGGUCCGCUUUAUUAAAACUAUUUCUGUAGUGCUCUUAAACGUGACGUGUCUUUCCCCUCCGACCGGAAGAGAGAGACAGACUUGCUGGUUUGCUGCUGAGCGGCUGAUAUAUCGCUCGACCUAAAGAGACUAAAGCCCAAUUCAAGGGAUCAUAAUGGUGACAGACGUGCAGCUGGCUAUAUUUGCCAACAUGCUUGGCGUGUCGUUGUUCCUGCUGGUUGUGUUAUAUCACUACGUUGCUGUCAAUAAUCCCAAGAAACAGGAGUAGAGUCUGCCAAUAUCAUCUGAGAGGUGAUAUGGGACUGCCACCACCAUGGAAACAACAUUCCCCUCUUCCUGUCCUCUUUCCAAGAGAUGAAUUUCUUUGUAAGAUUGCACACUAGUGUUUUUUGUAAUAAAAAUGUGUGAAAUGCA
Molecule: RNA transcript, 523 nt
Organism: Morone saxatilis (striped sea-bass)
Lineage: Eukaryota; Metazoa; Chordata; Actinopteri; Moronidae
Gene: ost4
Gene name: oligosaccharyltransferase complex subunit 4 (non-catalytic)
Exons: 3
Source: RefSeq, a predicted model, not a curated record